This 253-nucleotide ribosomal RNA is filed under the name uncultured bacterium. RNAcentral's name for it is "partial 16S ribosomal RNA". It matches the Rfam family "Bacterial small subunit ribosomal RNA", at positions 524 to 776 of the family's 1533-position model. The record is from RNAcentral.
UACGUAGGGAGCAAGCGUUGUCCGGAAUCAUUGGGCGUAAAGCGCGCGUAGGUGGCCUCAUAAGUCCGCUGUGAAAGUCAAAGGCUCAACCUUUGAAAGCCGGUGGAUACUGUGGGGCUAGAGUACGGAAGAGGCGAGUGGAAUUCCUGGUGUAGCGGUGGAAUGCGCAGAUAUCAGGAGGAACACCAAUAGCGAAGGCAGCUCGCUGGGACGUUACUGACACUGAGACACGAAAGCCAGGGGAGCGAACGGG